AGGUUAUUAUGGUCAGCUCACGCUAUGUCCUUUAUUCAGUGGGAUCUCAAACUGGAGGAGUGAGGAGGCGUCCUGGGAUCUGAACAUCUUAGGAAAAUCUAACUUAAUCAGGAACCUUUCUAAGUGCUUCCCAUUCAGCCUAGCCUUUUUUUUUUUCCUUCUUCAUCUUAAUCUUAUUUAAAAGACUCAACUCUCUUUAGACUGGUGAGGAUGGUAGUUCAAGCCAAGAGAGAGUGGGUGGGAAUUCAAAAACCUUCAGUUGCAACCAGAAUGCAAAUGCUAUUCUCACAUAAUUGGAACCUGAUUGAACUGCCCAAAUUUCAACCAUCCUUGAGCAAAAACAAAAAAAAUCUGAACCACAGCCAGGGAGAUUCCAUGAAUUAUAAGCAGAGACAAAUUAUUUCUCCAUCCCUUCAAGGUGUACUGUGUCCAAAUGUGUAGCCUAGAAAAUAAUAAUUAAAUGUUGUUUUUGGAUCCACACUGAUGAGGUUUAAAGUUCCUAUCAUGAAGAAAAAGAUCACUCAUAUAAAAAGACACUAAAUCAAAUUGUCUUUCAUCUGAAAAUUUCCUUCACAUUUUAUUGACGUCUAUAUUCUUUCUUGAAACCCCUAGCCUGGGAACUUCUGUAUGCCCUGGGUGCAGCCCUAAUAAGACAAAAAUACCAAAAAAAAAAAAAAAGAAUCAUUGUUUAUACACCUGUAAUGUGGCUAAAAUCCAACUGUAAUACCUUUUUUUUUUUUUGCUGCUACCUGUUUUUAAUAGACAUUUAUUUACACACGUUUUUAGACUCAUCGUGUUAACUCUGUAAGCACCCUAAACAUAGGAGAGCCCGCACCCUCUACCCUGCUCCCAGAAUGCUCACAAACUAGGAGGGCUUGGCAGCUGGAGCGAUGACGAUGACAGGGACAUGUCCUGCCUCCCACCUAUGCUUUAACAUUUGCUGCAAGUUUAGUUUCUGCACUGUCUCCAACUGACAGAAAGAUGCUAAGCAUUGUGUCUCCUGCCAGCUAGAAGGGGUCGCCUCUGGGAAAAGUGAGGUGAGCUGUAACUAAUAAAAACUGACCCACAGAAGUAGUUGCCCGGUCCAACGCCACAUUGCAACGAAUCCACGUCCAAGCAGACACACAUGCCCUGGGAACAGGGUUCUAAAUCUCCAACAGUGUGGCCUGACACCCAGAGAAAGAGGACAGGGACAGACAGUGAAUCACACCUGCUGGACAUUAUCAGAUUUGUAUGUGUCAUUGCUGAUGCCAUCUCUGUUUCGCCACGCAGCACUGACUGUCACCUGCUGCUAAAUCCCAUCAUGGGUUUUUCCAUUUUGCAGAAGUAGCUUCUGCAAGCUGGCCAAGAUGCCUAUCACCAUGCCAAGUCAUGCUCUUUGGUCUUCUACUCACUGCUAACCCACGUGCUGCUGAUUCUAUCAAUAAAGAGCUGAUUAUGAACAGAGGUGAGCCCUCAAAGAGGUCCCAAAGCCAUUCCCCGGUUCUGGACCUAGAGGAGGAGCGCUAAAUGGCCGUAUUUACAAGGCCGUCUCCCACGGAGUGUCCCUGGUGGAGGCGAAGGUAGCUGAGGUGACCAGGUCUGUCCCAGGUCAGAACCCCACCUUGUCCAGAACCUGUCUGCCUCUCCCGGGUCCCAGCAGGGUCACUGUAUUUCCACCCUCUCUUCUGAGUCUGGAGCCAACGAGACAUCAUGACUGAAGUUGGCCAGAAGAAGAAAAACUUGAAUCGUCCUCUCUUUACCCAUCAGUUCAGGAAGAACAGGCAGCUCCUUGUCCACCCUUUAGGCAGUGAGAUGCAAAAUACUGGAAAGUGGGCACGGCAUCCUCGUCAGCAGUCCAAGGUAGGCACAGAGUCAAGAAAACUGAGAUUGGAAAAAGACGCUUUCCACAAGCCUGGUCUCCCACAAAGGGGACAUGAGAACUUAACUGGCAAGUCAGGAGCAUCAGGCACGUACGUGCUUCUGACUUAAGGAGACGGUAAAGGCUCUGAUGACCCUGGCGGGCUGUUCUUUAUGGAUGAAGGAAAUAGCCAGAGUGGACUGAGAAGGAAGGAGAGACGGAAGGUAGCUGUCGUUUUAGGACCAGAAAACCAGAGCUUAUGACCGUGGAGAGCUUUUGCGUCUCUUCUUUUCCAGGACAGUCCAAGUGAACUCAGCACUGAGGUCAAGCAGCUGAUGGGCUGAUGCGGGGUGCUUUUGGAUUGUGGUCCUAUUUACUCCACACACGUAUUUAUUCUUUUAUUCGGAUGAUGAUGAUUAUUAAUGUGUAGCUGACGUACAAUGUUGCACAUAUGUAUCUUUAACAAGGGUCUUCUAACGAUUCAGUUUCUUCAGGCUGGGAACUUCAUGCACUAGCAGGCCAGUGGAAAAAAUAUUCUGAAGCAGCUGGACCUCUUGAAAAGACUCAGUUUAAAUGGAAUCAGAAAAAUGCAAAUACGUCAUCUCACGUGACCAUGGUAAUAGCAUCUGAUUUAACACGCUCAGUCCAGCCCUUCUGGGCCUCGUUCUCAUCAAGUGAAAUUCUAAGGGAGCUAUUUUGGUUGUGCUUGGGAAAGUUUCCUUUGAGUUACAAGUAGGAUGAGAAUCUAUCUAGUCCUGUGGCUGAAAUAGGAAGAUACCACCCCAGCCCCUCUCCCUGCCUCCCUCCCUCGCUCCCUCCCUCUCCAUUUGAGAAAAGUGACUCUGGGAAGAAGAACAUGGGACCUUAGAAGCUAUUUAAGACACGAAGAACAUCUCACAGCCCACCAGCUCUCAAUUUAGAGCUCAAACAAAUGACAAUCAUUCAUCUAUAAAUACACCAGCUUUUUCCUCCGUAUUAGAAGAAACUCUUUUUUCUCACACCGUGGACAUGUCUAUGCUAUUCCUUCCUGCAUACACCUUUGGACAAGUUUAGUCUGUUCCCGAAGAAAGUUCUGGAAGAGGACACACCCUGCAUGGUGACAGACUCAGUGAAGGAAAGCCAUUGUUCACCUUCCUUCAUCUCCAUGUCACCACCUCCCCCCUGGGGCUCAAAUACUGGGGAAGCAGCUAAACUAGCUGGUGAGUCUCUGAUUUUAGAAACAUGCUUUCUCUUACAACUUGUACAAAUGCUGCUAAAACAUCAACAUCAGACGUCUGGAGAGAAAAACACCACCCACAGUCUUGCCACUCUAACACAUCCCUUGUUGUAAUUAAAGCACACGCAAGUCCGAUCUUAUUCUUGUCCAUCUACGUGCCUAACGUGUAAACAGUUCAAUGACAGUGUAAUGUGUAGUACAACCUGAUCCUUUUCUUAAGGAAAUUUUUUUUUUAAUUUGAUUUGGCCUCUUGCAGUAAUGGAAAUGCAUUUGAAAAACUCUGAAAGAUCUACCAAAUCCAGGAACCGUCAUUUAAUAUUCCCUAGAAAGAUUCCUGUACCCAAACAUCAGGAAAGGACAGAAUUUUGUACUCUGUCUUUUAAAGAAAGAGUUUUAAGAUUACAGAAAUCAUUUCAGUGUUAACAGCAAAGUCUGGAGUACUGCUUUUGUGACGGAACAUCCAUUCCAUUUCAAAUGAUUGCUGUGGAGUUCCCAUCGUGGCUCAGUGGAAAUGAAUCUAUCAGCCAUGAGGAGGCAGGUUCGAUCCCUAGCCUCGCUCAGUGGGUUAAGGAUACAACGUUGCUGUGAGCUGUGGUGUAGGUCACAGACGGGGCUCGGAUCGGGCGUUGCCAUGGCUGUGGUGUAGGCCAGCAGCUGCAGCUCCAAUUCAACCCCUAGCCUGGGAAUCUCCAUAUGCCCGGGUGUGGCCCUUAAAACACAAAAUAAAAUAAAAUAUAAAUAAAAAAAAUAAAACGAUUUCCUUGUCACAUAGGCAUGUGUGCAGUUUUGAGCACAUGUUCUAUCAUUCUAAAAAUUGAGGAUGCUACUUCCCUCUGGAUAAAUUUAAACUGGCCAUUGGUGCAUCAGUGGAUUGCAAGAGGGUCACAGAUCUUCUAAGCUACAGAUAACUGGGUCAAACACAGCCCAGAGAGAAGCCCGUAGGUAAGUGUUCCCAGCUGCUGGCUGGCAGCCUGUGGUGGCCUUCAGGUCACCUCUCCCUUCACGAAUUCAUGACAUCCGAGACCUCUGCCCAUGCACCUGAUCCCAGAGAAGCGGAUUGUGGACAAGUGCUCGUUCUCACUCUCUUUUUUAAAUUUUAUUGGAGUAUAUACUUGACUGACAGCAUCGCAUUAGUUUCAGGUGCACAGCAAAGUGAGUCAGAUAUAUAGGAAAAAAUGGAUAUAUAUAUGUGUGUGUGUGUGUGUGUGUGUGUGUGUAUACAUAUAUACAUAUAUCUCCAUUCUUUUGCCCAUACAGGUUAUCACCGAAAACAAGAGACAAGUGUUCAUUCCCUCUCUUUUUUUAAAUUUUGUUGGAGUAGAAUUGAUUUAAAAUAUUCUAUUAGUUUGAGGUACACAGCAAAAUAACAGCAAAGUAAAUCAGUUAUAUAUUUAAUGUGUGUGUGUGUAUCAGUUCUUUUUCCCACCUGGCUUACUACAGGGGACACGUCUUCAUGCCUGACCCCACGUCAUCUCUGUACGUCACGUCUUGCUACCCGUGCUCUGAUUUUCCACUGGGCCACCAAUUCCUUCCAUGGUCUUAACGAUGUGGUUCGGGAGGCUUGAGCACACCUCUGAUUUCCAGGCGUAUAAUUUAAAUGCCCUCUAUGAUGGAUCUUGUGAUACCAAUUGUGAUGACCAGUGCCCAAACGGGCAGGGUGCCCAGGUCAGGGCACUGAGAGAAAACAAAUGUCCAAAUGCCUCCAUCAGCCAUGAGCUCUAGGAGAUGCUCGUCCUUCCCAGGCUGGGUGGGCUGGAGGCGGUGAGGCAAGUGCCGGGCAUGUGACUGCUCCUCUAACUCCAGGUAGAGCUGGACCUAAGUGGCCACCACCUGGAAGCCCUGGUUUCAGCCAGCAAUGGAAGGGACACAGCCACAGAGACAUGGCCUGCAUCACAUGGUUAAGGAGGCUUCUUGGUAGGGUCUGGCCUGAUGUGAGAGAGAUUGCUAGAGUUUUGGUUUUUCUUUCUUUUUUUUUCCCAGUAGAUUGUCUUUAUUGUCCAAUACAGGGACCACCAGCCUCACACGUAUACCAAACACCUGUACAUUGCAGAUGUGCAUUAAGUGUGACAUUCACACUGGAUUCUAGACACAGUACGUCAAACACUUUUAAUGUGCCUACACAUGGAAAUGAUAAUAUUUUAGAUACACUGGAUCAAAAAAAAUGUGCUAUCAGAAUUGCUUUCACCUCGUUCUUAUGGAACAUGCAAAAUUGCAUUAAGUGACUUGCAUGUGGGGCUUU
This 5295-nucleotide long non-coding RNA is filed under the name Sus scrofa (pig). Its description in RNAcentral is "lncRNA (ENSSSCG00000054520.1)". Lineage: Eukaryota; Metazoa; Chordata; Mammalia; Artiodactyla; Suidae. The record is from RNAcentral.